This 482-nucleotide ribosomal RNA is filed under the name uncultured bacterium. RNAcentral's name for it is "bacterial SSU rRNA". It matches the Rfam family "Bacterial small subunit ribosomal RNA", at positions 30 to 507 of the family's 1533-position model. The record is from RNAcentral.
AUUGAACGCUGGCGGCAUGCUUUACACAUGCAAGUCGAACGGUAACAGGUCUUCGGAUGCUGACGAGUGGCGAACGGGUGAGUAAUGUAUCGGAACGUGCCCAGUAGUGGGGGGAUAACUACUCGAAAGAGUGGCUAAUACCGCAUGAGAACUGAGGUUGAAAGCGGGGGACCUUCGGGCCUCGCGCUACUGGAGCGGCCGAUAUCAGAUUAGGUAGUUGGUGGGGUAAAGGCCUACCAAGCCGACGAUCUGUAGCUGGUCUGAGAGGACGACCAGUCACACUGGGACUGAGACACGGCCCAGACUCCUACGGGAGGCAGCAGUGGGGAAUUUUGGACAAUGGGGGAAACCCUGAUCCAGCAAUGCCGCGUGUGUGACGAAGGCCUUCGGGUUGUAAAGCACUUUUGGCGGGAACGAAACGGCGCUUCUAAUACAGAGCGCUAAUGACGGUACCCGCAGAAUAAGCACCGGCUAACUACGUG